Molecule: long non-coding RNA, 367 nt
Organism: Alligator sinensis (Chinese alligator)
Lineage: Eukaryota; Metazoa; Chordata; Crocodylia; Alligatoridae
Exons: 3
Source: RefSeq, a predicted model, not a curated record
ACCACAUGAGAAGGAAGAAAAGACAAUAUUUGCAAUACCUGAGUGGGUUUGGUAGGAUAAGCCCUUCUCUUAACAGGCAGGGGGUUAGAGGUGCACUGAUACAUUGAUCCCAUAUCGGAUCAGCAUUGAUAUAGGGAAUAUUGACAGUAUUGGAAAACAGCCUUUUUUUCCUGAUGUGGCUGAUAAUGUGGCUGAUAAAUGGCUCGUUCAUGCACACAGCCAGGAGCACAGCCCGGCGGCUUGGAGAGCAGCAUCAGGAGGUGCCAGCCUCACAACUUAGCCAUCCUUACACUCUCCUCCCCAACCCCUACAAGGUCUUCAUUUCACCACCGGAAGGGCACACACCAACUGCUGCAGCUUCCUGAGC